This 393-nucleotide transfer-messenger RNA is filed under the name Candidatus Tayloriibacteriota bacterium. It matches the Rfam family "transfer-messenger RNA". From Rfam's summary of the family: Bacterial tmRNA, also known as 10Sa RNA or SsrA, is named for its dual tRNA and mRNA-like properties. Its role is to liberate the mRNA from a stalled ribosome. Lineage: Bacteria; Candidatus Tayloriibacteriota. The record is from RNAcentral. RNAcentral also lists the same sequence under 1 other name.
GGGGAUGAUCGGCCUAGACAUGCGAUUCCCUUCCCUUUGCGCGCGAUAGAGCUCCGACAACUCUUUAAACUGCCGGAAACCACAAAUGCUAAAUCCGUUAAAUCGCCGUUUACGGCUAACGAUUUUUCAUUCGCUUACGCAAUAGCCUAAGCGACAUCGCACUCCUCGCAUUCCUGGCGCGGGAGAGAGCGGUGUUAUAGAUCCAGGAUAGAGCCCGACCCGCUUCGGUCCCGCUCGAAAGGCUUCGGCCUCAUGAAGCUCGGCGCCCGCGCGUUCUGGAACUCUUAGAGCGCGUCCGCUUAAAUCCGCCUUCGGCGGAAAGACUUCCUACAUCGCGUAGACACAAUCGGAAAUUUCGCUUGCACCCGAGUUCGAUUCUCGGCAUCUCCACAA